GAUAAACGCUGGCGGCGUGCCUAACACAUGCAAGUCGAACGCCCUUACGCAAGUAAGGGAGUGGCGGACGGGUGAGGAACACGUGGGUGAUCUGCCUUGAGGUGAGGAAUACCGGCGAGAAAUCGCCGACAAUACCGCAUACGUUCGCAAGAACAAAGUCGCAAGACGCCUUGAGAUGAGCCUGCGUCCGAUUAGCUAGUUGGUGGGGUAAAAGCCUACCAAGGCAGCGAUCGGUAGCUGGUCUGAGAGGACGAUCAGCCACACUGGGAUUGAGAACGGCCCAGACUCCUACGGGGGGCAGCAGUGAGGAAUUUUCGUCAAUGGCCGAAAGGCUGAACGAGCAACGCCGCGUGCAGGAAGAAGGUCUUCGGAUCGUAAACUGC
RNAcentral lists this ribosomal RNA (383 nucleotides) under uncultured bacterium. Its description in RNAcentral is "bacterial SSU rRNA". It matches the Rfam family "Bacterial small subunit ribosomal RNA", at positions 28 to 433 of the family's 1533-position model. The record is from RNAcentral.